Small nucleolar RNA from Macaca fascicularis (crab-eating macaque), 104 nucleotides. Lineage: Eukaryota; Metazoa; Chordata; Mammalia; Primates; Cercopithecidae. The record is from Ensembl.
AUCCUUUAGUAGUUCAGAAGCAAGAUGAUUGAGUUUUCAUGCUCAUGUGUGAGAUGUGUCUCCCUCAAAUCUUGUUAUGACAUCAGCACAUUAUCCAUAUGAUG